RNAcentral lists this transfer RNA (92 nucleotides) under Cellulomonas xylanilytica. RNAcentral describes it as "tRNA-Arg". Lineage: Bacteria; Bacillati; Actinomycetota; Actinomycetes; Micrococcales; Cellulomonadaceae. The record is from RNAcentral.
UCGCCGAGGUCGACGACACGUUGCCCGCCGCGUCCCGCGCGCGGACCGCGUAGGAGUACGCGGUGCCCGGUGCGAGGCCGGUGUCGGUGAAC